This is a long non-coding RNA of Podarcis muralis (Common wall lizard), 4535 nucleotides long. RefSeq lists it as uncharacterized. NCBI's taxonomy places the organism in Eukaryota, Metazoa, Chordata, Lepidosauria, Squamata, Lacertidae. The record is from RefSeq and is a predicted model, not a curated record.
GGGAUGAUGGGAGUUGUAGUCCAAAAACAGCUGGAGGCCCAAGGUUGGGAAACACUGGACUAGAGGACCCUUAGGAUUCCUUCUAAUUCUGUAGGUCUGUGAUUCUAACAUCUCUGGGGGGGGGCACACAUCUUGCAUCUCCAGCUAAAAAGAGCUGGAUGAGCAGUUUACAAUUAAUUCCAUGUGGUCAUAUUCUGGGUGCACUUAACUGUUGUUGCACCUCCCCCCCCCCAACGGGUCUUUAGCAGUGAGUGACUGCUGACCUGCAUUUACUACUGACGCUGUGCCUUGGAUUUCAACCUCUUUAUUUGGCUAAGUGCUGGUGCAGUGGUUGAUCAGCUUGCACUCUCUUUGUGUUGUGCUAAUUGUUGCCCUCCACCCACUCCUUGGGUCCUGGCUGGGCCCUUCAAAUCCAGAGAGAAGCUGGGGUUAUGCCAAAGCAGCCAGCCCACAUUGAUAGGUAGUAAAUUACAUACAAUAGGAUGUUCCAGCCCUGAAUGACAGAAGUGUGGAAACUUGCUCUAAUUGCCUUGUGAAAAGCUCAGGAACAAGGCAGCAAAAAUUACGCUUGUCGUCUUCUCUGGUCCUCUCCCUGGUCUUUGGUUCUGUGUUGUGAUUGAUCCUGUUCUAGCCACUGAAACAUGGCUUGGAAUAAGACUUGACAACUUCAUGAUUGUCUAAGAAAUGGUAGGAAGGAGCAUAGGCUAAUUGCUCAUGGAAUUAUAAAGCUUUAUCAAGUACCUCCAAAGCCAUUAAGAAUCUGUUUGGUAUACAAAAUAAUUGAGCUUCUUAUAAAAGUGUAGUCAGGCAGCUGAUGUCAUAACUGGGGUCUAUAAAAAGACUAUUAAUCUUUGGUCGGUGGUGUAACCCUGCAGGACUCUUCAACCAAAUGUUUGGCCCCUGCCUCCGGAUGGGAAGUGUAAGUCCAAGGUGCAGGGUUCUUUGUGUUGGGCAAGGUUAUCCUUGGGCCUUCCUAAGUCUGGGCUGGUUUGUUUUUCUUCAUUAAGAGUUUUUUCCUGGGCUGCUUAAGCUUUUCUUUCUUUGGUGCUGCUUUCAUUUCCUUUCCUCUUUUUGGGGGGAAGCUUCAGUUUGGGAAGUGCUUUGUAAAAACAACUUGGACGUUUUUCUUAUUUUGUCUGCUCAAUCUCUAGGAAUUUCCAAUGAGAGGAAUUUUUGAGCAAGACACCUGCUGAAAGGUCAAAAUGGGGAAGUGAAGGCAAAGGUGCCUGCAGCUGCAGCUCCUGCCCCAGUGGAUGCCUGGAAAAGUACAGGACAAGUGCCUGGGCAGCAGGUUCAAUGUUGAGAGACGUACUUCAACAGGAAGCUGGUACAGCUCUUUCCUGCUCACAGGUCUUUAAUAAUCAUCAUAUGGAAGAACCACCAUUAAUCCAGAUGAUAAUUGGCAGUUGGCCCUUUGGGGUUUCAGACAGAGAGUCUUUUCCCAGCCCCACCUGGAGAUGCUGAGGAUUGAACCUGGGACCUUGUGGAUCCAAAACAGAAGCUCUAUUGUUCUACUUCUGGAGCACCUCGGGUUCCCCAUGCCUGGUUAUUGGACUCCAACUACUCCUGACUGUUGGCCAUGCUGACCGGGGCCAAUGGCAGCACACCUGGAGAAGGACACAUUCUUCAACUCUAUUUCUUUUCAAAGAAUGAAAACCUUUUUGCAGCCCGUAGCCAGAAUGAAGGCAAGAUAUCCUUUGAAGUUGGGGAAAGAGCCACAGGGGUGGUGGUUGUGGUGAGACUUUAUUUCUAUACCACCUGUCCAUUACCCAGGUGAGGGAACACCUUUUAAAUGACACACAUACCGAGAGACUCAAGAAUAUACACCCAGGGUCUCUGGUUGUUACAUCCUUGUGAUGGGCCAAGUAUCUCUGGCAGCAUUAUUCGUAGCUUACACGGCUCAGCCUUUUUGCCCUCAAUUUUUUUUAUCUGGCCACAGUUCCAGGCUGUACCGAGAAGCCAUUUCCCUCCGUUCAGAUCCCUAGAAGCAGAAGGUCCAGUUACCUGCAUCUCUGUUGCUCGCAUGGGGCUCCUGUCUCUCAGCUUCAUCAGAGAGAAGACCUUCAUGAUGGUUUUCUCCACCAGCUCCGAUCUAACCUGUGCGUUCAGAGGUGGCUGCAAGGCACUGAAGAGUAAUGAGAAAGAAGGGGAGGGGAGAUGAUCCAAAGCUCACAGAAAAAGUGCUAAUUCAGCAGCUGUGGAGCAUAAUUAUGGAACCAGGUGGUAGGAGAGCAGGGCUGAGAAUUUCACCAGAAAACAAAAUGCAAAGAUCCGUCACCAAAGUGACCUCUACAAAGGGUCACUGACAAGGAGGCCACCCGUGUAUGUGCCUUCAGACAAUUUGGGCAACUCUGUCAAUAGGUUAAGAGGGCACUUUAAUAUGUCAGGAAGCUGAGACAGUGUCAGGACUGCUGUGAUUUAGAGAUGCCUCCUUACAGGGAGGAGUGAGGGUGGAGAAUGUAUUGGGCUGGUCCUGGGAGACACCUGCAAGGAAUUCAGAGGUGGUCUCAAGGCACUGAAGAGGAAAGAGUUGUGGGGAAGCACACAGCAUGUCAGAGAACUGGAGACACCAUCCCUGCCUCCACCACACCAAGCCCUGAAUUGUGCUCUCUCUCCAGCCCAGCCCACUUGACACCUUCUUUGCAACUGGCAAGUGGGUCCUCCUAGGGGAGAAGAGUGUACUAGAAGUACCUCCCCGUACUUACGUCAGGUGGGUGACUGCGUCCAUGGCUUGCCGGAGCAGAGAAACUGCGAAGCUCCCCAGGGGCUCCUCUUCAAUAACUUCCUGUUGUGGGGAAGUACGGGGUACAAUAUCAGGGUAUGGCAAGGGAGGUUCCAGGAAUAGGUGGGGCAGUGACAAGCUGUAGGGAGACUAGAAGUACCUCCCCGUACUUACGUCAUGCGGAUUAUGGUUUCCAUCGCUUGGUGUAAGACUGAGAGCGAUGCCAGCGGCUCCUCUUUGAUAACCUCCUGUUGUGGGGAAGUACGGGGUACAAUUUCAGGGUAUGGCAAGGGAGGUGCCAGGAAUACGUGGGGCAGUGACCGUACUUACGUCAGAUGGAUUACAGCCUCUAUUGCUUGUCUCAGGGCGGUGACUGAGAAGCCCCCCUGGGGCUCCUCUUCGAUAAUAAGUACUGCUGGGUGCUGAUCAUACCCCCUGGGGCUCCUCUUUGAUAAUAUCCAGUUGUGGGGAAGUACAGGGUACAAUUUCAGGGUAUGGCAAGGGAGGUGCCAGGAAUAGGUAGGGCAGUGACCGUACUUACAUCAGAUGGAUUACAGCCUCUAUUGCUUGUAAGUACGGGGAGGUACAGUACUUCUAGUCUCCCUACAGCUUGUCUCUCUGGUUGUUACAUCCUUGUGAUGGGCCAAGUAUCUCUGGCAGCAUUAUUCGUAGCUUACAUGGCUCAGCCUUUUUGCCCUCAAUUUUUUAAAAUCUGGCCACAGUUCCAACUGACAAGCCAUUUCCGUCCGUUCAGAUCCCUAGAAGCAGAUGGUCUUAAAAUUGGAUGUGUUAAAAUUGGAUGUGUAUAAGGCCUUCGACACAAUUAGACAUAAGUUCUUAUGGAAUAUUAUGCAGGAGCUUUUUGGAGCAUGGCAAUGGAGAAUGAGCCCAGCGGCUCCUCUUCAAUAACUUCCUGUUGUGGGGAAGUACAGGCUACAAUUUCAGGGUAUGGCAAGGGAGGUUCCAGGAAUAGGUGGGGCAGUGACAAGCUGUAGGGAGACUAGAAGUACCUCCCCGUACUUACGUCAUGCGGAUUAUGGUUUCCAUCGCUUGGUGUAAGACUGAGAGCGAUGCCAUUGGCUCCUCUUUGAUAACCUCCUGUUGUGGGGAAGCACACAGCAUGUCAGAACUGGAGACACCAUCCCUGCCACCACCACACCAAGCCCUGAAUUGUGCUCUCUCUCCAGCCCAGCCCACUUGACCCCUUCUUUGCAACUGGCAAGUGGGUCCUCCUAGGGGAGAAGAGUGGGCACUGAAGAGGAAAGAGAAAGAAGGGGGGAGGAAAUGAUCAGCACCCAGCAGUCCAUAAACCUGGUGAGGAAACGUGCACUGUGUUUGGCCAAGAUGUACAAUUUCAGGGUAUGGCAAGGGAGGUACCAUGAAUAGGUGGGGCAGUGACAAGCUGUAGGGAGACUAGAAGUACCUCCCCAUACUUACGUCAUGCGGAUUAUGGUUUCCGUCGUUUGGUGUAAGACUGAGAACGAUGCCAGCGGCUCCUCUUCGAUAACCUCCUGUUGUGGGGAAGCACACAGCAUGUCAGAACUGGAGACACCAUUGCUGCCACCACCACACCAAGCCCUGAAUUGUGCUCUCUCUCCAGCCCAGCCCACUUGACAACUAUGGGAGAAGAGUGGGCCUCCUGGAUCUGGGAAUAAGAUCCAUCUUUCACCUGCACAGAGCUCUCCCUCUCCCUCUUCCCACCUGUGGCUUCCAGCAACUGAUAUUCAGAAACACUGCUGCCUUCCGCUGUGGAGGUAGAACAGGGUCCUGAGGCACCCUGGACCGAAGAUGCUCAGGGCUUUGUAAAAAAAAA